UGUCACGCCUCUCAUCGAGAAGGGGGUAGCUGCAUCCCAAUAUGGCAAGCGGAGUAUUGGCGAGUGGGUGUGUCUAAAGGAAAGGAGAUCGCUCAACUACAGGUUGGACGGUUUUGAUUGAACUGUGUGUUUUCUUCCGUUCCGUACCGCGAGUUUGGACUUCUGUUUUAAAGCGACAGGAUAAGUCAGUCAUACUUCAUUGUUAGUUUUACACAAAUAAUUAUACAUUUUCAGUUAUAAAACUGACGAUUGUUUAUUUUUUAUUACAGUACUGAUGAAGGGGUGUACUGUUGCUUCAUGCGUUGUAUGCGUGUGUUUACUGUCACCCUUAUUUUGACUAUUAUGUAGUAGUGCUUGGCAAGCAGGAGCGAAAGGCACUGUAGCACAGCCCAAUCAGCCUUGAGGGCAACAAAUCUGCCCAAUUAGUUGAUUCACUUCCAUACAGCCACUCCUUUUGAUACAACCACUCGCCCAUACUCCGGUCACCAUAUUGGGCUGCAGCUACCCAUACUUGGAGAGAGGAAGGGUUGUCAUGGUAACCUUCCUCAUUGGCCCCUUCACUUCUUCCGCCUCCUUCUUUUUAUCCCACCAUCCCCACCUCCCCACAUCUUCUAUUUCUCUUUCGCUCCACACAGGAAAACAAAACCGUAUUAGCCUCCCACACAAAGAGGCUGGACACCUCUGCAGAUGAACAUUGAAGUGAAGUGGACAUUGCUGGGACAGUGGCUGCAUUAUCAUUGACACUGCAACUCUGACAGCCAAGACAGCAAACCAACCCGUCAGCCAUGACAGCGGCCCCAUACCUUACCUCCAGCGACCCUCUGUCAGCUGCCAUGACUUCUAAUCGCGUCUUGACCCUGGUCAUGCCCGUGACCCCGACCCCUUACCCCUGGAUGGAGGAGGAGCACAUCCAGGUACACACCAUCCUGAUUGUCAUCAUCUUCUGCGUGGUCUGCUUCCUGCUCCUGGUGGCCUUCUUCUACGCUUUCUGCAUCCGCUGCACACUGAAGCUGUCCCCCAAAGACUCCCGGCCUGCCCACAGCUGUAGUCUGGAGCGUGAGGAUGCCACCUUCUGCCGCAGCUCCUCUGACUGCCAGUCGGUUGGGAACGUGGUCUGAAUGGAGAAGAGUACAUGAGAGAUCUAGAGAGGAAGGCUGAUAGGAGAGGAAGUCUGAGAGGAGAGGAAGGCUGAGAGGAGAGGAAGUCUGAGAGGAGAGGAAGUCUGAGAAGAGAGGAAGACUGAGAGGAGAGGAAGUCUGAGAGGAGAGGAAGUCUGAGAAGAGAGGAAGACUGAGAGGAGAGGAAGGCUGAUAGGAGAGGAAGGCUGAGAAGAGAGGAAGGCUGAGAGGAGAGGAAGUCUGAGAAGAGAGGAAGGCUGAUAGGAGAGGAAGGCUGAGAAGAGAGGAAGGCUGAGAGGAGAUGAAGGCUGAGAAGAGAGGAAGGCUGAGAAGAGAGGAAGGCUGAGAUGAGAAGAAGUCUUAGAGAGGAGAGGAAGGCUGAGAGAGGUUUGAUAGCUUCUAUAUUAAUACAUUUCUGAGAUUAUGCGGCCCACCGUGCAACAGUGUUCAGGAAGUAGGAAUGAUCUGUUGGGGUGUGUCAUGGAGGAGCAGUAGAAUGUUACACUACUGUGCAUAACAGGACUCCCUGACAUAAAUAAAUGAAUGGAUAUACCAUACAACUUUUAUUGCCCUUUUCUGUGAAUCUGUCUGUGAUGUGUUCUGUCUUAUAUAUGUCACUGUUUCAUGAAUAAUAUACUGUUCCUGUUUAUUGACUCGUCUGUUUUUCACACUGCUGUGUGUUAUGUGCGUUCCCAUUCCAUGCAUUAGACACUUUGUCCACUAACGCAC
Molecule: long non-coding RNA, 1847 nt
Filed under: Salmo salar (Atlantic salmon)
Lineage: Eukaryota; Metazoa; Chordata; Actinopteri; Salmoniformes; Salmonidae
Description: lncRNA (ENSSSAG00000091730.1, ENSSSAG00000110497.1)
Source: RNAcentral